This 500-nucleotide ribosomal RNA is filed under the name uncultured bacterium. RNAcentral's name for it is "partial 16S ribosomal RNA". It matches the Rfam family "Bacterial small subunit ribosomal RNA", at positions 30 to 523 of the family's 1533-position model. The record is from RNAcentral.
AUCGAACGCUGGCGGAAUGCUUUACACAUGCAAGUCGAACGGCAGCACGGACUUCGGUCUGGCGGCGAGUGGCGAACGGGUGAGUAAUGUAUCGGAACGUGCCCAGUCGUGGGGGAUAACGUAGUGAAAAUUACGCUAAUACCGCAUACGAUCUAUGGAUGAAAGCGGGGGAUCGCAAGACCUCGCGCGAUUGGAGCGGCCGAUAUCAGAUUAGGUAGUUGGGGGGGUAAAGGCCCACCAAGCCAACGAUCUGUAGCUGGUCUGAGAGGACGACCAGCCACACUGGAACUGAGACACGGUCCAGACUCCUACGGGAGGCAGCAGUGGGGAAUUUUGGACAAUGGGCGAAAGCCUGAUCCAGCCAUUCCGCGUGCAGGAUGAAGGCCCUCGGGUUGUAAACUGCUUUUGUACAGAACGAAAAGGUUUCUACUAAUACUAGGAGCUCAUGACGGUACUGUAAGAAUAAGCACCGGCUAACUACGUGCCAGCCGCCGCCGUAA